Molecule: ribosomal RNA, 207 nt
Filed under: Clostridioides difficile
Lineage: Bacteria; Bacillati; Bacillota; Clostridia; Peptostreptococcales; Peptostreptococcaceae
Description: partial 23S ribosomal RNA
Rfam family: Bacterial large subunit ribosomal RNA
Source: RNAcentral
CCGCAAACCGACACAGGUGGGUGAGGAGAGUAUCCUAAGGCCAGCGAGAGAACUGUUGUUAAGGAACUCGGCAAAAUGACCCCGUAACUUAGGGAUAAGGGGGGCCACCAUCAGGUGGCCGCAGAGAAUAGGCCCAAGCGACUGUUUACCAAAAACAUAGGUUUCUGCUAAGUCGCAAGACGAUGUAUAGGAGCUGACGCCUGCCCG